Molecule: ribosomal RNA, 616 nt
Filed under: uncultured bacterium
Lineage: Bacteria
Description: bacterial SSU rRNA
Rfam family: Bacterial small subunit ribosomal RNA
Source: RNAcentral
AGACUUUGAUUAUGGCUCAGAACGAACGCUGGCGGCAGGCCUAACACAUGCAAGUCGAGCGCACCUUUUCGGAGGUGAGCGGCGCACGGGUGAGUAACGCGUGGGAACCUACCCUGGGGUAGGGGAUAACCGCUGGAAACGGCGGCUAAUACCCUAUACGUCCUUCGGGAGAAAGAUUUAUCGCCCUGGGAUGGGCCCGCGUCGGAUUAGCUAGUUGGUGGGGUAAAGGCUCACCAAGGCGACGAUCCGUAGCUGGUCUGAGAGGAUGAUCAGCCACACUGGGACUGAGACACGGCCCAGACUCCUACGGGAGGCAGCAGUGGGGAAUAUUGGACAAUGGGCGCAAGCCUGAUCCAGCCAUGCCGCGUGAGUGAAGAAGGCCUUAGGGUUGUAAAGCUCUUUCACCCGCGAAGAUGAUGACGGUAGCGGGAGAAGAAGCCCCGGCUAACUCCGUGCCAGCAGCCGCGGUAAUACGGAGGGGGCAAGCGUUGUUCGGAUUUACUGGGCGUAAAGGGCGCGUAGGCGGAUGUUCGCGUCAGAGGUGAAAGCCCCGGGCUCAACCUGGGAACUGCCUUUGAAACGGGACAUCUUGAGUUCCGGAAGAGGGUAGCGGGAA